AAAGACUUAAGGGAACAGUCGGUGUCUAUCAGUUUCCCACUGGCCGUUUAAGUCCCGAU
RNAcentral lists this microRNA precursor (59 nucleotides) under Branchiostoma lanceolatum (amphioxus). RNAcentral describes it as "Bla-Mir-193-P1e_pre stem-loop". The record is from RNAcentral. Lineage: Eukaryota; Metazoa; Chordata; Leptocardii; Amphioxiformes; Branchiostomatidae.